CUACGGAGGGUCCAAGCGUUAUCCGGAUUCAUUGGGUUUAAAGGGUCCGCAGGCGGGAAAAUAAGUCAGUGGUGAAAGCCUACAGCUCAACUGUAGAACUGCCAUUGAAACUGUUUUUCUUGAGUAUAGAUGAAGUGGGCGGAAUAUAUCAUGUAGCGGUGAAAUGCAUAGAUAUGAUAUAGAACACCGAUUGCGAAGGCAGCUCACUAAACUAUUACUGACGCUCAGGGACGAAAGCGUGGGGAGCGAACAGGAUUAGAUACCCUAGUAGUCC
This 274-nucleotide ribosomal RNA is filed under the name uncultured bacterium. RNAcentral's name for it is "partial 16S ribosomal RNA". It matches the Rfam family "Bacterial small subunit ribosomal RNA", at positions 523 to 796 of the family's 1533-position model. The record is from RNAcentral.